RNAcentral lists this ribosomal RNA (253 nucleotides) under uncultured bacterium. RNAcentral describes it as "partial 16S ribosomal RNA". It matches the Rfam family "Bacterial small subunit ribosomal RNA", at positions 524 to 776 of the family's 1533-position model. The record is from RNAcentral.
UACGGGGGGAGCAAGCGUUGUUCGGAUUUACUGGGCGUAAAGGGCGCGUAGGCGGCGCAACAAGUCACUUGUGAAAUCUCCGGGCUUAACCCGGAGCGGCCAAGUGAUACUGUCGUGCUAGAGUGCGGAAGGGGCUACUGGAAUUCUCGGUGUAGCGGUGAAAUGCGUAGAUAUCGAGAGGAACACCUGCGGCGAAGGCGGGUAGCUGGGCCGACACUGACGCUGAGGUGCGAAAGCGUGGGGAGCAAACAGG